Molecule: ribosomal RNA, 24 nt
Filed under: Anisakis pegreffii
Lineage: Eukaryota; Metazoa; Nematoda; Chromadorea; Rhabditida; Anisakidae
Description: partial 18S ribosomal RNA
Source: RNAcentral
AGGUGAACCUGCGGAAGGAUNAUU